AUACGUAGGUGGCGAGCGUUAUCCGGAAUUACUGGGGGUAAAGGGUGUGUAGGCGGGAAGGCAAGUCGGAUGGGAAAAUUAUGGGCUCAACCCAUAAAGUGCGACCGAAAAUGUUUUUCUUGAGGCUCGGAGAGGUAAUGAGAAUUCCCGGGGUAGCGGUGAAAUGCGCAGAGAUCGGGAGGAAUACCGGUGGCGAAGGCGAAUUACUGGACGAUAACUGACGCUGAGACACGAAAGCGUGGGGAGCAAACAGGAUUAGAUACCCUGGUAGUCCACGCCCUAAACGAUGAAUGCUAGGUGUAGGGGAGUCAUCUUCUGUGCCGCAGCUAACGCAAUAAGCAUUCCACCUGGGGAGUACGGCCGCAAGGUGGAAACUCAAAGGAAUUGACGGGG
RNAcentral lists this ribosomal RNA (393 nucleotides) under uncultured bacterium. RNAcentral describes it as "partial 16S ribosomal RNA". It matches the Rfam family "Bacterial small subunit ribosomal RNA", at positions 523 to 918 of the family's 1533-position model. The record is from RNAcentral.